UGGAAAUAUAAUCUCAUCCUCGUGUAAGCUUAGGGUUAUUAAUUGGUUUUCGUCGGCUUUUUAAAAGACCUUGACUUUAAUUUAUAUAGACGACUAUAUCUAGUAGGUGGCUAGAUUGUUUACUUUGCGACAAAGAAUUCACAGCUAGAUUGCAUAACUCUAGUAUUCACCGGCAAUGUCUGCCAAGCUUUUUUUUCUAAUUUUGAUCUUGAUGCUUGGCCUUCUACUGCUCACUGCCGCAGCUGCUUCUGAUGCCUGUGGAGAAGAAGGCGGUCUUUUUCAGAAAAUGUGUAAACCUAUAGCUCAAGUGGGUCAGGGUUUUUUCCUCGAAGAUAUGUAAGGGAUCGAAUAGCUAGGCUCCAGCUCCCCCGCCAUCCACCGCCCAUGUUAUCUCCAUCUUCAGCUUGCUGUAUCUUAUUCUAAAUUGAUGCUAAAAAAUAUGGUAAACAUGUGUUUGUUUGCUAGGAGAGGAGCGAGCUUCCUAUAUGUCUGAAGUGCUAUAGUGUAUGUUUAAGUACAAGAUAAAAUAAUUUAAAGAUAUGCUAUCCUUGGACCGGCACCAGAAAUGGUUAGCUCUCAUCAUAGUGCUUCAUGGUCGAUCUCGAUCUUUUCUUGUAACAAUCGAUCAAGUAAGUGAUUAAUCUUUGUCAGCUGUAAUCUAUGGGUAAUUAAAGUGUGUGUGUGUGUGUGUCUCUCUCUCUCUCUCUCUCUCUUUCUAUCUGUAUCUGAUGAAAAUACAGAUGAUUUCUUUUGGUUCUGCAUCUCUCAAUGAGUUGAUUUUGUUUUGACUGUACUCUAUUUGCUUCAAGCUUGCCCCAACCAUAGAGAAGGCCCAAAGCUCAAAAAUUAUUCCAAACUGAUCAAUCAACUACUAGAAUUCUUUUCCUGCCGGCCUUUUCUAUUAUGGUUUGUUUGGUGUUAAGGAACACUUUUUGGGAAUUGAUUGUUGAUUAUUGUUGCCUAGUCCUUCACUCUACCUCCAUGGAAAUUGGGUUUUAUUUGCUAUUUGUGCUCACGAUUGAAAAAAAA
RNAcentral lists this long non-coding RNA (1029 nucleotides) under Theobroma cacao (cacao). RNAcentral describes it as "long non-coding RNA (TCAC_LNC003576)". The record is from RNAcentral. Lineage: Eukaryota; Viridiplantae; Streptophyta; Magnoliopsida; Malvales; Malvaceae.